UCCGUAGGUGAACCUGCAGAAGGAUCAUUA
RNAcentral lists this non-coding RNA (30 nucleotides) under Mus musculus (house mouse). RNAcentral also lists the same sequence under 1 other name. Lineage: Eukaryota; Metazoa; Chordata; Mammalia; Rodentia; Muridae. The record is from RNAcentral.